UAUCGGGUCUCACACUGUUUCUGGUUCAGCGUUUUUGAACCCUCCCCUCCCGCUUUUCACCAUGGCCACGUACAAACGCGAGGAUCUGCGGCGUGCAAGCUUUACCAACCUAGACGAGCACUGUGAUGAGGGCAUCAUGUACGAGCUGUGUCUGCAGUUCGGGCGCAUCCAGAAUAUUAGCUGGCCGACCGAGGUGAACAUUAACGGGAUGCCGCAGCGCGCCUCGCGCUGCUACGUCGACUUCGAGAACGCCGAGGACGCCAAGUACUGCUUCGAGGCUCUCUACCGAGCGCGCGUGAAGCUGUUCAAUAAGGAGCUGCGCGUCUUUCACGCCAGUAACGAGGUGGCGCAGGGUGGUGCAGCGGGCACACAGAGGAGCGGGGCGGCGGUGAUUGGCUUGCACGAGGUGGGUGCCAAGGUGGUGGUACGCAACGUCGAUUACCGCGUCACGGAGUUCGACGUGACGCGGUUCUUCGAAAGCUUCGGCCAGUUCGCUGCCCCGCCCCGCAUGCUGCGCGACUCCGUCGGCAACUUUCGCGGCGUUGUCAUUCUUUCGUACAAGACGUUUGAAGCAAGCGACCGCGUCAUUCGAGACAUGGACCAGAAGGUGUUCCGUGAUCGCGUCAUUUCUGUGCACUACGCACAGAUGGAGGACGGCAGCGGGCGGCUGCACGGCACGAAGGAGGAGCGCGCGAACGCCGCCCUCAUUCGCGAGGAGGAGAGGCGCUACCGUGAGAUGGUGGCGAAGGAGAUGGCGGAGGUGCGACAGGAGCGGCAGCAAAGCCGUGUGCAGGACGCGUCAUGGGCGGAGAAGGUGAAUGUGUACAGCCGCCCGCGUCGCUGAGAGCAGGAGAGAACGCCAUUUUUGACGUAUGCCUGCGCGUCUGUGCGUGUUUAGGCGCUGCACCUGUGACUAGCGCACACAGGGGAGGGGUCUCGGGAGGGCUGCGGCGUGCCUUCGCCUUGCCCGUCGCCCGCGCCUUCCCUUCGACCUCUCCGGCUACUAUCCAACUCCCUAGCAAGAAGGCGCUUACAUC
This 1037-nucleotide unclassified non-coding RNA is filed under the name Leishmania donovani. RNAcentral describes it as "gene:LdHU3.29.0550(CDS-product:RNA_binding_protei n_putative)". Lineage: Eukaryota; Euglenozoa; Kinetoplastea; Trypanosomatida; Trypanosomatidae. The record is from RNAcentral.